ACUCUGGGUCAGAGCAGCCAUGCCUGAUCCUAAGAGGACCAGAGCGCUCAUUUAGACCCAGAGUAGGCUGUGCUUGACUGAGUGGAAAACAAAGAUGGAAGGAAAGGAGAGGUGUAUCACCCUCACCCUCCUAGGACAGGAAGAGCACAGGGGACCUGGAAAUCCAUGAUUUCCACAAGGGUGGUAAACUCUCAUGAUGUUGGUUUUUAAGAAUCCAGCCUUGUGGCGCACGGAGGCGCGUGCCUGUAACCCCAGCAACCACGUCGAUGAUGCAGAAGGAUCCCGAAGUUUACGGCCAGAACUCAGUUGGACUCUUGUCUUAAAAGAGCUACACCCUCAAGUGAGUGAGAUGUCA
RNAcentral lists this long non-coding RNA (355 nucleotides) under Mus spretus (western wild mouse). RNAcentral's name for it is "lncRNA (ENSMSPG00010047965.1)". The record is from RNAcentral. Lineage: Eukaryota; Metazoa; Chordata; Mammalia; Rodentia; Muridae.